GGGAGAUUGCCAAGGGUUGUAUGCUUCUCUGCCAAGGAUUAAGAGAGUAUUCAAAAGCGAAGACAAAAACAGAGUUCGGGUUCGUGUUUGAGAGUUAGAACUUGAAAUAUAAGCCGUGAAAAACAGGGAAGAAUACCUGCUACUACUCCCGUUGUUUAAUGGCUAUGAUUGAGGAUUAAAUGAAGUUUUAGAAGAUCAAGGAAACAAGGAGAGAUGCGUUCGUCUCAGAAUUCAAAUGCUCACAUGAAUUUAAGUUGAAGCCAUGUUAAUCCAGGGAAGAAGAAACUUGUGCUGCCAUUGAAAUGAUGAACGGGGAGAUUUAAAGAGAAGUUUGAGUUCUGAAUGAUUUAAGAGAAUGAGUUUUGUGUGUAUGCUACAGGGAAGGAAAUAUGGUAGAGCUUGGAAAUCAACAGCGUGUUCAUCUUGUUCACUACCGGUUCUGCACACAAUAUGUUUGAGAAAAUGCCGGAAUCACCAGUUCUUCAGAGUGUCAAAAACCAGACUAUCCUGUUGCUUCACUAUCUGUUGUCACGAAGUUCCAUGAGUCUGUGGGUUAGUGUGCGUACAAGGGCUGGCUGGCGAAGGCUAAAAUUGAUUUAGAGGCCAAGAAACCAGCUGAAGUAUUGAGUUGUUGCCAUGGGUCAGGGACCAUGUUUGGAGAAGUUAGGACCCGAGUUAGAAACCGGAAACAACACGGAGUCUGGGCACAAUGCUAAAUUGACUUGGAUUUGUCGAUAAGUCGGGGAAGUAAGAUUGAAUUGUUGUCGUAGAUUGAGACUUGUUAAGAAGCCGAGAAUUAGGAAAUUGGAUUGGGGUAGGUUACAAGUUUCGUAGUAGGAAUCAUUGUUAUAAAAAAUUACGAGGUUUGUCUCCAUGAUAGCCAGUGCUAUCCGACGGACGAGGUUUAAAGGGGACCAUCAUCCGAUGGUCGGGAGCCUCCGAAUGGAGUUUUUCAAUGGACGGCUGGCUAGGAAAUUUGCGGUUUUAACAAUUCGUGAAAUAUGUCGAGUACUUUAAAUACCUUUUGACGUUCUAACAAAUAUUCAGAAUAAUUAAUUUUUCCAGAGAUAGCGUGAUCACCGAUUUGUACUUAAUCCUUUAGAUACCCAUAUUUCUUUGUUUUCAGCGAUUUAGCAGGUAUGCCAUCAAAUCAUGAUUAAAGGUUCAAGAGCUCAAACGAAACUUCGAGUCAGAGAAAGAGAGGUGAAAAGCCCGAUGAGAGUAAUGGACAUCAUCAACAAAAGGGUCAAAGUAGAAUCAAUAGGAUUUAAGGUUUUUGAGGUUGUUAUAAUCGAAUUGAUGCAGCGAAACAAUUUAGGGAACAGCUAUAACGGAAAAUCUCCCAUCUUAUGUGGUUUGGGAGGAAGACAAUUGGAUGAAGUCUUUUACAGUGGCUAACUUUCUCUGCCAAUGGCAACUUAAGCGUAAUUGUUGUUUUAUGAAUUGUGUUACAUAAGCAUGGUACUUGCAGGUUAAUAUGGUUUCAAUUCAACAAGAUACUUAAGCCAAAACCGGAUAUUGUGUUACAUAGAUUGUUGAUUAUCAACUGCGACACCAACAUGCAGUUCAUUUGCUUGGAGGUUGUAAACAGGUUGUUAGAGAGAACCAUUAUAAUUUUUCGUACUUGGGUAAUAUUGUUUACCCCGUAGGUAGUCCAUUCCAUGAUACUUUUCUAUUCGCUUAAUUUUAAGUCUUUGUUAUACGAGACUUUCCAAUGUUUGAGUUGCAGACAUCCAAAGGACUAGGACAAGUUGAUGCUUGCAAAACAAAAGGUCUCCUAAGAUCCAGGUAUUAAACUUUUUUUUGGAAAAAAUUGGAUGUAUAAAUACCUACUAAAACGCCAAAAAAUUGUGUUCAUUCUUCCUCCUAAAGUCGAGUGAUGUUACAUAGCCAAGAACUUCAUAAUAGUUUUGGUCUUAAAAUCGAGUGAUGUGCCAUAGACAAGAACUUCAUAAUAGUUUUGGUUUAAGACAGCUGAUUAACCGCCAACUGAAAUUGAUUUAUAGAAGGUUUGUCGGCAGAGUUCUCAACAUGAUUUCUAAAGGUGGGUCUGCAAUACCUGAAUACUGGGUUCGCAAUAAAUGUAUCAUUAAUACUUUCCCUGCUUACAUUAUACCAGCAAUCACUUUAAUUACAUGCAUGAGAAAGAUCUUUUGCGAGCAGAUGGUAUGUGAAAUAAUUUAUGCAGGGGAAUUUAUGAAGCUAGAUUAUCAUUUCACUAUAGUCACCCGCUUAUAUUCCAAUAUAGCCACUCACUUACAUUUGAUUGUUGUUCUACUUCUCAAUAUACCAGCCAUGUACAUCCUACACUAUUAGAGAAGGAAAAUAUCUUAGAAAAGGGGAGAGGAAAAUCUGUGCCAGCUGCGAGGUCGUCAAUAACUGGUAAAAACCUAUGCUAAUAUGGCGUCCUUCAUAAAAAAAAUUCUCUCUUGAGAUUGUCAGUUGUGUACUCCGUAACAUGCCUUUGAACAUAGUCAUAGUCAUUCUAUUUGAGGUGGUGAUGCUGAAAUUAUUAGCUCGAUCUUGGUGUACAUCAAAUAUAACUGUAACCAAGUGCCUAAAUGGAUAAAUAUUUGGGGUCCGAUACUAUAAUAUUUGACUCCAGCUUGGUUUACAUGAAAGCUAAUUAACAAUAUCGAAGUGCCAAAGUGAAAUGAAUAUUGGUACACUUGCAUUCAUAAGAAUAUAGUUGGAUCUAUCAUAUAUCUUGAUUGAUCAAUGUAUCAUAUUGAGUUAUCUCCACUUCAUGGUAUAGAUUGAAACUAGCUUGAUCUUGGGUUUUCUGGCUAAUGAUCUUCUAAUCAGUUGAUCUUGAUCUCGACAAUUAAGGCUGUGAAAUACACAUAAUGAGUUCUGCAGGUUACUGUUGACACUAUUGCUGCAGAAGAGAUUUCUCGCAAUGUAUGUAUUCCCAUUUUUCUUAAUCUGGAUUCGGUUUUUUUGGUUCUAAAGUUCAGGGUUGGUAAUUUGAAAUUUGGAAUUUUGAACGCAACAUAUUACUUUGAAUGUUGACUUUGGAAUCUUCUCUUUUGGAUUUCAUGAUUUAAUUGAAAAGCCUGCAGUUAGUCACUUCUUUCCACCAAAUACUCCUUACCAAACAUUGUUCCAGGAUAUGUUAUUUAGAGCUGUUUGGUGUUUAAUGAAGUUUGUUAUCAUGUCCGCCCCACCAGGGAAACGUAUAUAGGGUGUUGAGUCUUUUAGCAUGAAAAAUCUUGAAUGUGUUGAACUAAUAAAAAUCUUGAAUGCGCUGUUUAUUGCAGUUUAGUUUGCAAAUUUCUAUUGAAUGUAGUUAGAAGCGUAGCGUGUAACAAAUCAGAAAUAUAGUGGUACACUCAACAAUUUAUAUAGGCUUAUGCCCAUGAUUACAUAAAUGUUUUUGCUGCAGGGAAAGCUUGGGUAUACCCAGUAACAUUUACUAACUCCUCCGGAUUCUUAAUAUUUUUCGUUCUUUUACUUCGCUGUAGUUUUUCUAAUUCCAUCUUCUAGAAAGCCAGACAAAGGCUACUCCAAUAUGUGGAGACAUUUUCAAUAACAACUUGAAUGUACUCAUAUACAUAUAGCAGCUUAAGUUGAGUUUGUUGUUGUCAUCUACCAGCAAAUUAGCAAAGGAAGACCAUGCUGCGUCUUUUCGUACCGUAACUAUGAAGGUCAAAUUCUUCAAACCUUAGCUUUUUUUUUUUUAUUUUGUUUUGAAUUUUUUCCCGAAGCUUUCAUAAUUUUGCAUUGACCGAGAGAGACGAAGACGAAAAAGAAUCCAAAAGCAACUAUACAGAUAUUUCGGAUGCUCGAGAUAACAACCGUUAAUCGCGCCACCUGCCAAACAACAAGUAGUUGGAUGGCUAUCGGUUAGAUUUUACCGGACAAACAAUCUGCAACCAAAAGAAGAACAUUGAAGGAAAGAAUUCAUGAAUUAUUAUGUGAAAGUUAGUAUAGACAGAGCUCCUUACCUUAGAUGAUAUGUUCAAAUUCAAUACGGGUCACCUUAGAUGAUAUGUUCAAAUAUGGGUCGUUCUUUUGGGAAUCAAGGCUACAAUAGUUCAGAACAAAGAUGAUCCCUGGAUGCGGUUGGAGAUUUCCAAAGGGAGUGAACUUUGUUCUUACAGAAUGUUCAUCUCAUCAUGUGAAAUGUUGAAAAUCAUGAGGGCAGAAGCUAGAAGUUCAGGUUAUUGUGCAUAUAAUGGAAAUAGUAAUCAAUAAGCUAAAGAAUCAUGCAACUUCUUGGGUUCUCA
Molecule: long non-coding RNA, 4229 nt
Organism: Papaver somniferum (opium poppy)
Lineage: Eukaryota; Viridiplantae; Streptophyta; Magnoliopsida; Ranunculales; Papaveraceae
Exons: 4
Source: RefSeq, a predicted model, not a curated record